CACAAUCUUUUUACUAACACAUAAUCUCUGUAUAAGAUUUAGUGAUUGGAGAUUCUGCAUUGGACCAUGAAAAAUGAUUGCUUGUUAUGUUUCACAUCAUGAUUGACAUGCUCAGAUGAUCAGAAAACAGUUGUUACUUUAGUGCUCCACCUGACAGAACCAACAGCAUCAUGCCUCUAUCAGAUUGCAAUGUUUAAAGCUGUGUGUAGAAUAGCAUCGUGCUCCAAUGGUUCACAGUGUAAUAUCAAACUACUGGAAGCAAUGCAGAAAAAAUUGGGCACGCUAGUCUUUUUGUCAGUAUGCUGUCAGGCAUCCAAGAUGCUGCAAUGGCUGUCUUGCAGUAUGACACACUACAUGGGAUAAGACAAGUAAUAAUCAUGUCCAAGUCAUAAAACGCAUCAAUGUGUUUUGGCAUCAGAAGUGAUCUGAGCAAGAUCUUGGUGGGACUGAAUAAAAGGCACGCGGUGAAAUGAAUCGACAAUUUGUGGAUUUACUUCAAAUGUGAUGAAACUAAUUUUUUCAUUAUGUUGUUUUCAGCUGCUGCAUGUUGUUUUGCUGUGAGCCUGACUGUGUCCAACUUGUGGCUGUCAGCAGUUUUGGCAUAUGGACAGAUUUGCCAUGAAGCUUUGGGGCACAUUUUUGUUCGCAAAAUAGGAGCAUUUAAAGAGUAGAGCGCUCAUUUCCAGUGUUAACGCUGUUUCUCAAAGCUGGAGCUAUGAUCUCACAUCUAGAUGUCAGAAUACAUAAUAGACUGCUGCACAGAAGAUCUUUGGCUCGAUGCUGUAUAGUAAUACUCAAUCCAACAGAGACAGGCUUGGGAUUCCAGCAGUGUCCUGGAACGGCUUUUCAGAAACAGUGAUUUAGUUAAUUUUGACAGGUAGCGCACAAUGCUCCAAAAAUUAUGAACCAAAAUAGCAGCUCAUUAAACUUUUGGAAAUGCGGCCUCUUUAUGGCAGUUUUUCCGGUUCAGCCUCACGUUGUAGGCAAGUAGGUAGGCAAACAUCAAAUCUGUGUGUCGGCAGCAAAUCUAGAAGAUGACAAUAUUUUAUUCUGACUAUGUUACAUUACAAAGACGUAUUUGGGGAGGCCUUGGCAAGGAAAUGUGCCACUGCUGCAUGUAGUGUCACUUAGGGAGUCAUUUAAACCUCAACCUGAUCUACUGUUAGUCAAACCCACAGGGGGCUGCAUAAAAAAAAACCCUGACUGGCCUCAACUGAAAUUUACCCUCCUCAGCUGGUUACCAAGUUAACUGUUGUGCUCUUUGUGCGAUGGAGCUCAGAGGGACGUGUUGUGUUUUAGUCAUAAGGAUAAUUAACUGGUCACAGUCGAGUUUUCCAGGAAAUUGACUGUAUUAGCGACACUCGUCUCUAUUCUCACCUCCUUCCUUUUAUUUUUUUUCCCACUUGGCAGCUGUCACACAGAGAGCUUUGAAGUGGGCGUAAAUAAGGAGACAUGCAUGCUUAAUGAGCAAGAGUAAAAACGGCUUAAUUCUUGAUUUAGCAGCGCUACUCUGCCUACUGAACUGAAUGUCGAGGCAGUGCGGUUGCCUAAUUAAGUUGCCUGUUAACAAAAAGAGGCCAACAGCGACAUUUGCUGUUGUGUCAGCCAGAUCAUAUCUGUUCAGCUGCAAUUAUUCUGUGAAAAAGUCCAAAACAUCUGCAAUCAAACACUGAUUUCACCUUCUGAACUCACUUGUCAAACAGAUGAACAGCUGACGGCGACUUGCCAAAAGGAUAUAAUGAGUCCAUAUUAUAUACUGACAAUCACUUCUAGUCCGUGCUAUGUUCAGUGCCAGGAAGUGAAAGGGAGAAAAAAAAAACAAGAAGUAAGGAAUGGUCUUUUGCUUUCAGAUUUACAGCCGUGGGGUCACCAGUGGAAGUGGAGCUGGAGCAGAGUGGUGCAGAACUCUUCUCCUCCCUCCUGGCCUCCUUCCCUGCUCCUACCCCAUUAUUUAUUUUUUUUUUAAAGUUUUGCUCUCUCUUACUGUAUAUGGGUCACACUGUGAUUGUGUGUACAUACAGGUGAAUAUGUUCUCUUUUCCACUGAGCAUAUGGAAAGAAGGACUCAAACAGUUACUCCUAAGUUAACGUAACACAGUGGAACAAUGCCGCAUUUACAGUAAAGGUCACGUCUUUAAACUUCUAGUUGCGCAGUCAUGCACAGAAUAUAUGUUUCUGUUUCAAAAGCGGACUCAUUAUGAACUUCUCAUCACCCCUACAGGAUUUGAAACAAAUUACUCAUGAUCCGUAAUGAUGAUUUUCUAAUGCCGUAACAGUGUGUGGGUGAUCUGACCUUUACACGACUGAUGAGAUAGUCUUUAGUUUUGUAUGUAAAACUCUUUUUUUCUGUGAAGAUUUACAUAAUUUUUAGACAUCCCAAAUCUAAUGUUAUAAUUUACAAUAAAUAAUCUAUUCAGGAGACUUUAAGGAAUUAACCCAUGUACAGUGUGCACUCAAUGUAAAGAAAAAGUACAAUUCAUAAUAUUGUAAUUUUCUAAAAGCUCCUAAAAUUAAUCAUAAAGAACUCGACUAUGUCUACUUCGGCACAACACACCGAAUCACAAUAGCAGGUAUUAUUUCUAAUGUGAUAAUAGCACAGACAACAAUAUUAUUUAUUUACUUAUUAUUUAAAAGCGAUUUCUUAGACAAUCUGUAACUAAACUGAAUCCCUGAGCUUGUCUAUGAGUAAGUGUGUGUGUGCCUACUCGUUUACCUGUGUUGCACAUGAGAAGUCAUCACAAUCUCAGCCCAGGCAGGAAGGCAGGAUGUUUUUGAUGAAGCAGUGGGCUUAAUUUAGGACCAGGCAUUCUCAGUAUCUGUCACCUAACUCCCAGCGAUCUCAACACACAGUGCAGGAGGUGUUUGUGUGUAUGUGUUAGCUCAUGUUUAUCCAGGGAGGCGGGUUACAAAUUCAAGAAAUGUACACCAACAUUUGGCUCUCUAAAAAGACUUGAAUAACUCCCAAAUGUAAAAAAAAAUGCCCAUCCAUCUUUUAACUAGUGAAAUAGUAAUAAUAAUAGCUGCAGCUGUACAACAGACUUUCGUGAUAGUGUCUCUUUGAUAUGAUUUUAUUGUGAAGUAUUAAUACUCGCUAUUAAAAAAUAAUCCCAUUAAACCUGCCAAACGCCCAGAAUCUUGAUUUCUUUUUCUCAAGGAACUGGCUUGGUUGUAGCUCCUGCUUGGCUAUAAAAUAACCAAACAGGCAUAGGCAUUGCCAGCAAACCAGCAAAAGCAAAGAGCGAAUGCCAACAACCUCUGCCAAAGACUUGAGCUUGCACCCAGUGUUCUUCUCUUAUUGGUACAUAGAGGAAUUUUCUGCCUACUUCUUUGAAUUACUAAAUUUUUCUGCCUGUACGGACAUUGUUUUUAUUCAUAAUACUUCAGAAUGAGCACGCUUUGUUGUAAAGCAGCUCCAUAUUGUAUGAAGUAAUUACACGCGCCUUCAUUUUCUUGAUCUCACCGCGCUCUUGUGUGAUGAGCACACAGAUAUGGUGAUAGGAGCAAUGUGGCUUUUUGAAAACCCCGUGAGACAAUCAUGGUGACGACCCCGAGCUUGUUGUCAUUUCAGUGCUGCAUUAAAUGAACGCGCUCCGACUCGUCAAACGACGACACGGAGCGCUGAGACGAGAGCCGUGUGGUCGUCACGCAUCCAUAACGAAUGGAAAGAAAGGAAGACCACACAGCAGCAUGGUCAGAUCAGGUUGUCAGAGACCAUAUUUAAAAUCUGGGUCAGAGUCCAGGCCAUAACCUCGCUCUCACUAUUGCUGCACACUCCCUCCUCUGCACCCCAGCUCACCUUCAUCUCGUCCCACUACCCUGUCUUUGCCUUCUCUCCCUCUCGCUUUACACCCUUAUCUCCUCACCCACUUUUCACAUUCGCAUCUUUAUUUAUUUCAUUCACCCCCUCAGCCUUCUUUCUUGUCUUCCUUUCUCUUCGUGUGCUGCCUGAGCCAUGCACAGAGGCAGCAGCUUUGCCAUCUGCCUGUGUUGCGUUUCACAGGCAGCAUCGUAGAUUUGAGAUCAAAUUAGUGUCACUGCAAAGGAAAAUGAACAUUGGAUUUUAAAAUGUAGUGAUCUAAACAUACCAAUUUAAAAUGAAUGAAUAGCUGAGAAUAAAAGAAUGGAGGAUUUUUAACUGUUGCUCCUAUCCAAUGAGAAAUUAAGGAAAUUCAAGCCAUAUGAUUUAUGUGCAGGUUGAAGAGCAGAUAGAAGUCUGAGAGUGUUACAAUAGCCCCAUUCAGCUUUACUUUAUAAUAAGUAGAGCUGACAACAAAAUGUGCCCUGCUUGACUUACAGAGGACUUAAAAUGGAUAAAAUAGAAAAUUCUGAAUGGCAUCCUGGGCAAUAUUUCAAAGAUGUGCUCCAAUGUCAAACUUAUUUUGUCCAAAAAGCUUAGAAGGUUUUAACGUCAGAUUGCUGAUUUUGCACGUGUAGGUUAGCUUUACCCACAGACGCUGUACGUUAUUAGCUAGGAAGUCAGUGCAUACAGGAAUCAUGCAGGUUUGUUCUGGUUCUUGUAACUCUGAGAGAGUACGCUUGCAAUGCACACAGACUGUUGAGAUGCUACAUACAGCCAGUGGGCACAGCUAGUGUUAUUCAGGAGCAUUUCCAUGCAUAGGUUUGACUGCUUGUUAAAAGAAAAACAACAAAAAAAAAACAAUGCCUUGUAUUCUUUUUCAUAUGUACAUGUAUAAAACAUGCAGGAUAUCAUUUAUUAGUAGAAGCCUCUUUAAGACAUCUUUUACAGAGCUGGGCCAGUUAACGUCCAACGUUGUGCUAAAAAAAUAACCUUAUCAUGUCAAUCCUAUGAAUAGAAAUGAUAUUUCAUCUAACUCCUAGUCAAUCAUUAUUAUUUCUUUAAAAAGUCUGAAUGUGUUUUCAGAAAAUCUAAUGCAUUGCUGCUUGGAAAACUGAGAAAAAGAGCCAGAGACAGAGUUUGAUUUAAGAUGAAGGAGGUGCUACACUGCUAUUCUCUGAAGCAGACCUGGCAGUCCUGCAGCAGCCGUAACAGUGCCUUUGCUGCUAUUCAUCACAGGGAAAAUGGCAAACACUGUACAAAUCAACUGGCAUAAAUGUUCGUGCUUCUUUUCAGCUCAGUGGCUCUGAACCUAUUGUGGGGCUAACAUGGCUGCCAACAAUAAGACAUGAUGACAUUGUCCUGCUCUCUUGCUGGAGGCCUCCCAGUAAGGAGUUCUUGUGAAUGCCUCUUCAGUGUGACAUGGAGACGGGCCCGCAACCACCAGCGGAGCCUGAGCUGAGCUGCUGAGCUGCUGAGCUGCUGAGCUGCUUUAGAGCCCUGCUGAGACCUGCCAGGCCCACAGCUUUCCCUGCCAGGGGCCUCGGCUCGCAGUCAGAGCACCAACCGUGGCUAGAACAUGUAACCUCCCCCCCUGCCAUCUCAAUCUCCAGGCAGAACAGGAUCGCGAUGGCCCCGGUGAGACCAGAUCAAGCCAAUCCAAUUGCCGAGCGGGGAUCAAGUCACCAUGCUGGUGCUGCACCCAGAAACCACCAGGAGCCAAACCUCCCGAGGUCUUCCCACCACAUCACACAGCCUGCUGCCUGGGCACAUGAGUGUGUGAGAGGCAGAGAAAAGAAAGCAGGAUUAAAAGAUAAAAACCAUAUGAGCAAACCAAAUCUAUUUUGAAGUACUAUGACUUCCUUCCUCAAGGAAGGCCUUUUUUUGUCCCCUAUGAUCACUCACUGGCCUUUUCACAAGCCUACGCUCUGGUCAAAGGCGAUUUAUUCAUUUUAUUCCCUUAUUUUCAUAACGUUGAGGAAUAUUCAGUCAAGUAGCUGCUACUCACUAGAUGCAGCCAAAAAAAAAAAACUGUCAGCUGAGUUCUUUUAAAUUUCUGUUUUAUAUUUUUUGUGCCCUUGGCAAUAUUUGAUCCUAAAAUAAGGUAUUGAUAUGUAGGUAUGUUUCAUCUCUGUUUUCUUGAGUGUGUAUGUGUUUGUGUUAUCCUUAACGAAACUGUAUGUACAACCAAAUGAAAAUGAUGGACUCAGCACGAAAUUUGAGGUUUCAUCAAAUGUCCAUGUUAACUUUUCGUGUUGGAAAGGAAACUUUCUGUAAGUAUACUAAUCUUUAAAAAUACUUUAUUACAAGUCAAAAUUACACUAAAUAACAGAACCUCCAGAAUAUAUAUUCAGCUUCAAGUCAGAGUGUUAAUUAUGCAAAAUGGCACAUAAUAUAUUGUUGUAUUAAAGGUUCUCUGUGCAACAUUCAGGACCACUUGAUGUUGCUACAGCAAAAAGCAUCGUCGAUUACUACACCUUCCCCCUCCCUUCACAUUUCAUUUACAACUAGGAAGGUUGCAUACACAUAAAAAAAGUAAAUUACAUUAAAUCGUGACAACUUGUUCAACUUAUUUAACAUUAUCUUCACGACGGUGAGUGCAGAAGCAGAGAUCUGCAGAAAGCAGUGGAGACUCUCACAUUGAGCUAAAAUAAAACAUGCCACCAUAAAUCAGGUUAAACAUGAAUACAAGACUCUGUUUUAAAUUUUCAAAAUUUCCGUGGCACAGGCUAAAUGCUUGGACUGCACUGUCGCUUUUGCACUGCAGUGAGAGGUUACGCUCACCUUAUAAAUGCAGGGAGGACCAACAGUUUCAAAGGGAGGAACUCACAUGCACUAACAUGCAUGCCAGGCCGGAUCGGCUAGCAGAACAAAGAAACUCAGGCUACAUACAAAGAGUGUAACUUCAUUCUCUGCUAAGCAUGCCAUUACC
This is a long non-coding RNA of Amphiprion ocellaris (clown anemonefish), 6727 nucleotides long. The record is from Ensembl. Lineage: Eukaryota; Metazoa; Chordata; Actinopteri; Pomacentridae.